UACGUAGGGGGCAAGCGUUGUCCGGAUUUAUUGGGCGUAAAGCGCGUGUAGGCGGUUUCUUAAGUCUGAUGUGAAAGCCCGAGGCUCAACCUCGGAACUGCCUUCGAUACUGCGGGUCUCGAGUCCGGGAGAGGUGAGUGGAAUUCCUAGUGUAGAGGUGAAAUUCGUAGAUAUUAGGAAGAACACCAGUGGCGAAGGCGGCUCACUGGCCCGGUACUGACGCUGAGGCGCGAAAGCGUGGGGAGCAAACAGG
Molecule: ribosomal RNA, 253 nt
Filed under: uncultured bacterium
Lineage: Bacteria
Description: partial 16S ribosomal RNA
Rfam family: Bacterial small subunit ribosomal RNA
Source: RNAcentral